GAUGAACGCUGGCGGCGUGCCUAAUACAUGCAAGUCGAGCGAACAGACGAGGAGCUUGCUCCUCUGUCGUUAGCGGCGGACGGGUGAGUAACGCGUGGAUACCCUACCUAUAAGACUGGGAUAACUUCGGGACACCGGCGCUAAUACCGGAUAAUAUAUUGAACCGCAUUGUUCAAUGGUGAAAGACGGUUUUGCUGUCACUUCUCGCUGGUUCCGCGCCGCUUUAGCUAGUUGGUAAGGUAACGGCUUACCACGGCAACGAUGCGUAGCCGACCUGAGAGGGGGAUCGGCCACUCUGGAGCUGAGACACGGCCCAGACACCUAGGGGAGGCAGAAGUAGGGACGCGUCGGAAAAGGGCGAAAGCCUGACGGAUCAACGGAGCGUGAGUGAAGAAGGUCUGCGGAUGGGAAAACGCUGUUAUGAGGGAAGAACAAAUGUGUAAGUAACGAUGCGCGUCUGGACGGUACCGAAUCAGAAAGCCACGGCAAACUACGG
Molecule: ribosomal RNA, 496 nt
Filed under: uncultured bacterium
Lineage: Bacteria
Description: partial 16S ribosomal RNA
Rfam family: Bacterial small subunit ribosomal RNA
Source: RNAcentral